GCAAACUUGGUCAUUUAGAGGAAGUAAAAGUCGUAACAAGGUUUCCGUAGGUGAACCUGCGGAAGGAUCAUUAUUGAAUACCACUUGAUAGGUUGUAGCUGGCUCUUUGGAGCAUGUGCACGCCUGUCUUGGACUCUAUUCAUCCACCUGUGCACUAUUUGUAGUCUUUGGAGAAUGAGAUGAAACAGUUUACCAGUCGGUUGACAGAUCGGAAUAGAGGAAUGCUUGAGCACUUGGUGUAUAGGCUCUCCUUAAUCAACUGUGAAAUCUCCCUCCAGAGUCUAUGUAUUGAUUCAUAAACAAAGUAUGUUAUUGAAUGUAUUCAUUGGGCUUAUAAUGCCUAUAAAAUAUUAUACAACUUUCAGCAACGGAUCUCUUGGCUCUCGCAUCGAUGAAGAACGCAGC
RNAcentral lists this unclassified non-coding RNA (405 nucleotides) under uncultured fungus. RNAcentral describes it as "partial contains small subunit ribosomal RNA, internal transcribed spacer 1, and 5.8S ribosomal RNA". The stretch from base 1 to 73 matches the Rfam family "Eukaryotic small subunit ribosomal RNA", at positions 1759 to 1831 of the family's 1831-position model. Lineage: Eukaryota; Fungi. The record is from RNAcentral.